RNAcentral lists this transfer RNA (72 nucleotides) under Sphaerodactylus townsendi. RNAcentral describes it as "tRNA-Thr". It matches the Rfam family "tRNA". Rfam says of the family: Transfer RNA (tRNA) molecules are approximately 80 nucleotides in length. Their secondary structure includes four short double-helical elements and three loops (D, anti-codon, and T loops). The record is from RNAcentral. Lineage: Eukaryota; Metazoa; Chordata; Lepidosauria; Squamata; Sphaerodactylidae.
AGAAUUGUGGCUCAGUGGCCGAGGAUCUGCUUAGUAUGCAGAAGGUGCCGGGUUCAAUUCCCAGCAUUUCCC